Molecule: ribosomal RNA, 253 nt
Filed under: uncultured bacterium
Lineage: Bacteria
Description: partial 16S ribosomal RNA
Rfam family: Bacterial small subunit ribosomal RNA
Source: RNAcentral
UACGGAGGGUGCAAGCGGUGUCCGGAUGUAUUGGGUUUAAAGGGUGCGUAGGCGGGUUAUUAAGUCAGGGGUGAAAGUCUGCGGCUCAACCGCAGGAGUGCCAUUGAUACUGGUAGUCAUGAGUACAGUAGAGGUAGGCGGAAAUUAUGGUGUAGCGGUGUAAUGCAUAGAUACCAUAAAGAAAACCGAUAGCGUAGGCAGCUUACUAUGCUGUAACUGACGCUGAGGCACGAAAGCGUGGGGCUCGAACAGG